RNAcentral lists this ribosomal RNA (253 nucleotides) under uncultured bacterium. RNAcentral's name for it is "partial 16S ribosomal RNA". It matches the Rfam family "Bacterial small subunit ribosomal RNA", at positions 524 to 776 of the family's 1533-position model. The record is from RNAcentral.
UACGUAGGGACCGAGCGUUGUCCGGAAUCAUUGGGCGUAAAGAGCGUGUAGGCGGCCAAUUAAGUCCUGCUUGAAAUCUCGGGGCUCAACCCCGAGCGGUCGUGGGAAACUGGUUGGCUAGAGUGCGGGAGAGGAGAGUGGAAUUCCUGGUGUAGCGGUGAAAUGCGCAGAUAUCAGGAAGAACACCCGUGGCGAAGGCGGCUCUCUGGAACGCAACUGACGCUGAGACGCGAAAGCGUGGGGAGCAAACAGG